Molecule: long non-coding RNA, 226 nt
Filed under: Nicotiana benthamiana
Lineage: Eukaryota; Viridiplantae; Streptophyta; Magnoliopsida; Solanales; Solanaceae
Description: long non-coding RNA (NBEN_LNC027432)
Source: RNAcentral
GAAAAGAUGAGGCUGGAAAUGAAUGAAAUGCAGUUUGCUUUGGCCAAAGUACAAAAGGGGCCUGAAGUACCCGUUUCUCUUACCUUCCAGCUAGGACAUAUACCAGAAUACCCUUCUCCCGGUCCCUCAACAAGUUUCCUAAGCCAUCACUACUAUCACGGAAGGGAUGCUUAUGACCCCCAAGCUCCACCACCCAAUCAAAACCCUCCUCCACCGAAUGUCCCUA